CGCAUUCUUAGUGUAUAAAGGACUCAUGGAAAUCUGACUUUUAGAAUUUCAAAAUGAUGAAUGAGUCGCCGAUACGGCAUUCGAAAUUAUUAUCGCUCAUUUAUAUUCUGAAUUGUUGAAUGUGAGUGUGUUUAUCAGAUGCACUGCUUUUAAUUCGCUCGCGAACUUGCUACUGACAGUUUAAGUUCCAGUUAGGAAAGCAGAACAACCAAUGAACAAACCACUCCGUAAUGAUGGGCUCUUUUUAACGUGAACGACAAACCGUUAACUUAGUCGUAAGUGUUGCGGCGUCCUUUGUUUCAGUACUUGCAGAGGACAGUAUUGACUUAUUGAACCUUUGCUUAACGUCAAUGUUGAUGCACGUCAUUUGCGUGGCGGCGCUUUUAGUUACAGUUACACGCGUCACUUGCGUGACAGUGCUUUACGUUCCAGUUAGGUUCUUUAGCUAUUUUUGGAUGUGAUUGAUUUAGUACGUGCAGAGCGUGUGUGUGGAGUAGACAUUUUUUGCUGUCGUCUACAAAAAGAAAUUAUAAAGGCCUACGGUGUCGCGGGAUAGAUAUUUUACGAGAUCAAUUAAUAAAUGUGAUGUGAAAUUAUGUCGCUUCCGUCUCUGUAAAGUUCCACUCGUUCUGGUAUUUUUCUCCGGUCGCGAUCUUCUCGGCAAUACAUUCGGCCUUGAAGUUCGCCUGCCGUUACAGUCAACUUACGGUAAACACUACAAAUGGUGACACGGUACAGCUAUGGGGUCUCCAGUUUCUGUUCCUGUAGCAGAAAUUAUGAUGCAGAACAUUGAGGAUCGCGCCCUUUCGACUUGCCGACAAACGAUACCGCAUUGGCUACGCUACCUUGACAAACAGGGAGAGCGAUAAAGGUGCUCCUUGUUCAGCCAUCUUCUGCUACUUCAGAGAGUUUUUUAAUAUACUCACAGCCUCAUUCAAUGACCAGCAGGAGAGUGCACUGAGCAGAGAGCGACAAGCCAGACAAGCGGCCAAUUUUAGACUCUGUUGAGCGAGGUACAUUGCAAGAUAUGUCGAGGAAACAGGCCAAAGUGAAAUCAGGACAGAGCGUAUGAAUAGUGAUCUUCUGGAAUGCAAGAGAGAAGCGAAGGAUCUGAUAUCGUCUGUAGACCCUUCACGAAACGCUACCGGAGAGAAGAAGGGUUAUAUCGAAGUAAUGGCUGCAAUGAAACUACUAGAUAACGAGAGCUCGUUUGGCCUGCUCAACCUAUCACCAGACGUCCUACGAGGGCUACGUAACAAGCACCCAGAGGCGGCCAAUAUUGCAGAGGAGAGUUUGCUGCACGAUCCAGUUGAUUAUUUUCCACCAAACUUCUAUGAUCUCCUGAUAAAGAAAUGAUUUACAACUCAGCAAGCAGAACCAAGGGCUCAGCGGGGCCAUCGGGAAUGGACUCGAACCUUUAUAGGAGAAUCCUGUGCUCUAAGAACUUUAAGACUGAAGAGAAGAGAUAGCUAGGUUCACGAGAAAUCUGCUUAAGAACUCUUACCAUCCGUCUUUACUCGAAGCCUUUACAUCUUGCGGGCUCAUCCCGCUCGACAAGAACCCUCGAAUCAGACCAAUCGGUGUUGGAGAGGUCCUGAGACCAAUAGUGGGAAAAACAGUCAGCGGUUUCUUAAAUUACUUGCUGAUGUAAAAACUUCAAAUAGGAUUAGCGAAUUCAUUCGUAAGCUCAAGACUUUUGAUUUCAGCAAAUUAGGACCCAGCUGUGAGUGCAACUCCUGUUUUUAGUUAUUAUCGUCUAUAUGUACAUGUAUUUCUCAUAUUUCUCUCCUUACCAUGAGCUUUUCUUAGAUUUUUACUAGACAUUUUGACGCAUUUUUUUUUAUUUUUAAGCAUUUUAUCAUUAUUUUUGUAAAUACUUUUGGUGAUUAUAGUGAAUAAAGGGAGAGUGAUGAAAGAGAGAAUUAAAGAAUUUUAAAUAGA
Molecule: long non-coding RNA, 1941 nt
Organism: Stylophora pistillata
Lineage: Eukaryota; Metazoa; Cnidaria; Anthozoa; Scleractinia; Pocilloporidae
Source: RefSeq, a predicted model, not a curated record